UACGGGGGGGGCAAGCGUUGUUCGGAAUUACUGGGCGUAAAGGGCUCGUAGGCGGCCAACUAAGUCCGACGUGAAAUCCCCAGGCUUAACCUGGGAACUGCGUCGGAUACUGGUUGGCUUGAAUCCGGGAGAGGGAUGCGGAAUUCCUGGUGUAGCGGUGAAAUGCGUAGAUAUCUGGAGGAACACCGGUGGCGAAGGCGGCAUCCUGGACCGGUAUUGACGCUGAGGCGCGAAAGCCAGGGGAGCAAACGGG
This 253-nucleotide ribosomal RNA is filed under the name uncultured bacterium. RNAcentral describes it as "partial 16S ribosomal RNA". It matches the Rfam family "Bacterial small subunit ribosomal RNA", at positions 524 to 776 of the family's 1533-position model. The record is from RNAcentral.